Molecule: long non-coding RNA, 864 nt
Organism: Pseudomyrmex gracilis
Lineage: Eukaryota; Metazoa; Arthropoda; Insecta; Hymenoptera; Formicidae
Exons: 3
Source: RefSeq, a predicted model, not a curated record
UACUCAGUCUUUCAAAACACACAGUGCAUCGGUCUCUUCGCUAUAACGGGCUAUGUUCGUUUCAUUUUCAGAAAGUGCAACAACUUUUGCCGGGAGAUGAAGUACAACGCGUCCAUUUUUGUGGAAGAUUCCUCGCGCAGUGUCGACGAAAUGCUCUGUUUCUCGACCGCAUCCUGUGAACGGACGAAGCGACCUUCACUCUGAACGGCGUGUUUAAUUCUCGCAAUUUUUUAUUGUGGGAUACAGAGAAUCCGCACGCCGUUCGGCAAGGCGCGUUUCAGUAUCGUUAUACGAUAAACGUAUGGGCAGGAAUAAUAGCGGACCAAGUCAUUGGUCCCUAUUUUCUCUCAGCAAGGUUAAAUGGAGAAGUGUAUGCGCAGUUUGUUGAAAAUCAGUUGCUCGUACUUUUCGAGAACGUUCCUCUCCGUGUGCGGCAACAGCUGAUUUUUCAAUACGACGGAGCACCAGCGCACUUCAGCCGACGAGCACGACAAGUGUUAGAUGCGCGUUACGCAGAAAGGUGAAUAGGUCGUGGUGGCCCGAUCAUCUGGCCGGCGCGAUUGCCAGAUCUGAAUGUGUUAGACUACUUCGUUUGGGAUUACAUCAAACAGUUAGUCGAGCACAGACGUGAUGACGAAGAAGAUGCAGUACGAGAAGCAAUUCUCGCUGCAUUUAAUUCGAUCACUUCAGAAAUGGCGCACCGCGCGAUGCGCGAUAUUGUGAGCAGAGCGAACGCUUGUUUGCAAGAACACGGUUCGCAUUUUGAACAAUUGUUAACUUAAAUUAUGAGAGUGGAUUAGACUUACUGGGGUAUACCACUAUAAAAAAAUGCGCCAUGCUAUCUACCGCAAGGUGGCGUGGAAA